GGAUAACCGCUGAAGGCAUCUAAGCGGGAAGCCCCCCUCGAAACAAGGUAUCCCUGAGGGCCGUGCGAGACCAGCACGUCGAUAGGCCGGGUGUGCAAGCGCAGCAAUGCGUUCAGCUGACCGGUACUAAUUGCCCGAUAGGCUUGAUUUG
RNAcentral lists this ribosomal RNA (151 nucleotides) under Boseongicola sp. RNAcentral's name for it is "partial 23S ribosomal RNA". It matches the Rfam family "Bacterial large subunit ribosomal RNA", at positions 2762 to 2925 of the family's 2925-position model. Lineage: Bacteria; Pseudomonadati; Pseudomonadota; Alphaproteobacteria; Rhodobacterales; Paracoccaceae. The record is from RNAcentral.